ACGUAGGUGGCAAGCGUUAUCCGGAAUUAUUGGGCGUAAAGAGGGAGCAGGCGGGAACCAAGGUCUAAGUUGAAAGGCUGAUGCUUAACAUUAGGAAAGGCUUAGAAACCAGGGAUCUAGAGUUCUGAAGAGGAUCGUGGAAUUCCAUGAGUAGCGGUGAAAUGCGUAGAUAUAUGGAGGAACACCAGUGGCGAAGGCGACGAUCUGGGCAGAAACUGACGCUGAGUCCCGAAAGCGUGGGGAGCAAAUAGGAUUAGAUACCCUAGUAGUCCACGCUGUAAACGAUGAGUACUAAGUGUUGGUGGUGAGACAUCAGUGCUGUAGUAAACACAAUAAGUACUCCGCCUGAGUAGUACGUUCGCAAGAAUG
RNAcentral lists this ribosomal RNA (369 nucleotides) under uncultured bacterium. RNAcentral describes it as "bacterial SSU rRNA". It matches the Rfam family "Bacterial small subunit ribosomal RNA", at positions 525 to 896 of the family's 1533-position model. The record is from RNAcentral.